UGGGGAAUAUUGCACAAUGGAGGGAACUCUGAUGCAGCGACGCCGCGUGAGUGAUGAAGGAAUUCGUUUCGUAAAACUCUGUUCUAUGGGAAGAAAAGGACUGUACCAUAGGAGAAAGCUCCGGCUAAAUACGUGCCAGCAGCCGCGGUAAUACGUAUGGAGCGAGCGUUGUCCGGAAUUAUUGGGCGUAAAGGGUGCGCAGGCGGCUUUACAGGUUGGAUGUGAAAUAUUGUGGCUCAACCACAAACGUGCAUCCAAAACUGCAAAGCUUGAGUUAAGGAGAGGUAAGUGGAAUUCCUGGUGUAGCGGUGGAAUGCGUAGAUAUCAGGAGGAAUACCGGUGGCGAAGGCGACUUACUGGACUUAAACUGACGCUCAGGCACGAAAGCGUGGGGAGCAAACAGG
RNAcentral lists this ribosomal RNA (404 nucleotides) under Fusobacteriota bacterium. RNAcentral's name for it is "Fusobacteria bacterium partial 16S ribosomal RNA". It matches the Rfam family "Bacterial small subunit ribosomal RNA", at positions 355 to 776 of the family's 1533-position model. Lineage: Bacteria; Fusobacteriati; Fusobacteriota. The record is from RNAcentral.